GUGAGGAAUAUUGGUCAAUGGGCGAGAGCCUGAACCAGCCAAGUCGCGUGAAGGAAGAAGGAUCUAUGGUUCGUAAACUUCUUUUGCAGGGGAAUAAAGUGCGGGACGUGUCCUGUUUUGUAUGUACCCUGAGAAUAAGGAUCGGCUAACUCCGUGCCAGCAGCCGCGGUAAUACGGAGGAUCCGAGCGUUAUCCGGAUUUAUUGGGUUUAAAGGGUGCGUAGGUGGUUUGAUAAGUCAGCGGUGAAAGUUUGUAGCUUAACUGUAAAAAUGCCGUUGAAACUGUCGGACUUGAGUGUAAAUGAGGUAGGCGGAAUGCGUGGUGUAGCGGUGAAAUGCAUAGAUAUCACGCAGAACUCCGAUUGCGAAGGCAGCUUACUAAGCUACAACUGACACUGAAGCACGAAAGCGUGGGGAUCAAACAGGAUUAGAAACCCUUGUAGUCC
Molecule: ribosomal RNA, 445 nt
Filed under: uncultured bacterium
Lineage: Bacteria
Description: partial 16S ribosomal RNA
Rfam family: Bacterial small subunit ribosomal RNA
Source: RNAcentral